GCGGAUAUGACGGAAUUGGGAGACGUACUGGAUUUAGGCUCCAGCGGAUAUAAUUUCUAUGUAGGUUCGAGUCCUACUAUCCGUA
Molecule: transfer RNA, 85 nt
Filed under: Cyanoptyche gloeocystis
Lineage: Eukaryota; Glaucocystophyceae
Description: tRNA-Leu
Rfam family: tRNA
About the family: Transfer RNA (tRNA) molecules are approximately 80 nucleotides in length.
Source: RNAcentral